This 400-nucleotide ribosomal RNA is filed under the name uncultured bacterium. RNAcentral's name for it is "bacterial SSU rRNA". It matches the Rfam family "Bacterial small subunit ribosomal RNA", at positions 358 to 775 of the family's 1533-position model. The record is from RNAcentral.
GGAAUAUUGCGCAAUGGGGGAAACCCUGACGCAGCAACGCCGCGUGCGGGAUGACGGCCUUCGGGUUGUAAACCGCUUUCAGCAGGGAAGAAAAUGACGGUACCUGAUUAAGUAGCCCCGGCUAACUACGUGCCAGCAGCCGCGGUAAUACGUAGGUGGCAAGCGUUAUCCGGAUUUACUGGGUGUAAAGGGCGUGUAGGCGGGACUGCAAGUCAGAUGUGAAAACCACGGGCUCAACCUGUGGCCUGCAUUUGAAACUGUAGUUCUUGAGUACUGGAGAGGCAGACGGAAUUCCUAGUGUAGCGGUGAAAUGCGUAGAUAUUAGGAGGAACACCAGUGGCGAAGGCGGUCUGCUGGACAGCAACUGACGCUGAGGCGCGAAAGCGUGGGGAGCAAACAG